CUUUUUGUCAAAGGGAUGACAUGUGCAAAAUUUUCAUAAUUGGGUGGGAUUGAGACGUGAGCUCAUGACCUUGCUUGCUAUGAUACAAUGUUGAACUAGGAUUAGAUUACACUGAGCUGCUUUCAAUUAGAUUGACUCAUGUUAGUUUCCAUCAUUUUCUACAGAUAUGCAGCCAUUUGGGUGCUUGACAUAUUGUAAAGUCCAGUAAUUUUUCACAUAGACCCAUUAUACAAAAAUGCUCACCUUUAGUGAAGUAAUUGAGAGGGGGAACCGGAUGAAAUAAAUAGUGAGUGUUAGGAAGACCUGGCGAGGAGUAAUCUUUUCACGAAAAGGAAUUGAUUUCAAUAUGUAUCUUGCUUAUUCCUUGUUGCCUUUGUUCUAUUGGGUUCUCUCCUUUAUACAGUUGUGCUUAGUUCUUAUUUUUGAUACUGUGACCCAGGUUUCUUUUCCUUUGUUCUCUUGCUGAAUUGACGGGAAAUCUGAGAUCACAUUUUGUCUUCAACAAGUUAGAACAUUUUUAUAAGCAUACUUAGAUAAUUUUUUAUGGCUAAUCUUUGUGUUCAAAUUUGUUCAUUUAUCUCACCUAAUUCAAGUUUAAAAUAGUUGUUAAUCAUUGCAGGUGCAAGCUGUUACAAUCCAUGCCACCAAUUACUACUGCAUGACAGCUUCUCUUGAUAACACAUGGUGCUUCUAUGAAAUUGCUUCUGGUUUAUGUCUCGCUCAGGUCUCAGCCCUCCCUAUUCUUAAAUGCACCUGUGUACUAACUCAAAUGUUUAUCUCGUUAUAGCUCUGUUACUUCUGGUUUUAAGUUAUUUUCCAGGUUUAAGAGACUUCGGGAUCUUCUGAAGGCUAUACAUCUGCAUCUUUUCACCCCCGAUGGUCUCAUCCUUGGAACCAGUACCUUUGGGUCUGUACUUCUCAUGAUCAG
RNAcentral lists this long non-coding RNA (928 nucleotides) under Olea europaea subsp. europaea. The record is from RNAcentral. Lineage: Eukaryota; Viridiplantae; Streptophyta; Magnoliopsida; Lamiales; Oleaceae.